UGCUCAACGUCGAGUUUGCGAGCGAGUACACGACGCCGCGCGGACAGAUCGUCCGCGACAAGGGGCUGACCAUUCAACCGCUGCUGCUGGCCUUCCUCACCUUUUACGAGGGCGACGGGUUCCUUAGCAGCUUCAAGUUCGUCGGCGGUGUGUGGAACGACUACGGGACGAGCGGCGUUUCGGAGCACGCGCCUUACGGCAGCGAGCCGAAGACGAACUGGACGGAGAUCGAUCCGAUCUUCGGCAUCUCGCUCGGGCUCGGGAAGGCGGCCACGUUGAGCGUCACUUACACCGCGUUCGUCGAGCAGAUCCUCGACAUCGAGACCUCGCAUCACCUGGAGGUGAAGCUGGCAUUUGAUGACAGCAAAUGGCUCGGGGCAUUCGCGCUCAAUCCCUACAUCCUCUACUGGCAGGAACUAUCGGGUAAAUCUACGGCUGCGCAGGUGCCCUACUUUGUCUUUGGCCGGUCACCCAAUACGGGCAACGAUGAUCCGCCGGGGGAGGGCUUCUACUUCGAGGUGGGCGUCAGUCCGAGCUAUACCUUCAAGUCGCUGGGGGAUCUCAAGGUCGAGUUGCCCUGCCGGAUGCUGCUCCCAAGUGAAGAGUUCUACGGCGAAUGGUAUGCCGGCAAAUCGACCAUCGGUCUCUACGAACUGGGCGUGAAGGCUUCGAUGCCCUUGAAGUUCAUGCCGAAGGGAUAUGGCAACUGGAGCGUCCACGCGGGGUACCGCUACAUGAACUUUGUGGACGAGAACCUUCAGGGGAUGAACCAAUUCAAUGCGCCGGGUCAGCCGACCCAGGAUACGCAUGUGUUUUACGGCGGCAUUUCGGUGUUCUUCUAAAAUAGAGCUUCUGGUUGGGUUCGACGCCGCCUGCGAGUCCGUUAGUUUGGUCACGGGACGUAGGCGGCGUCCUCACCGUUUUAUCUCCAUCGCAUGAAUCCCCGUUACGUCUCCGCUGAUCCUUACCUCUGGCCUUACGACGGCGACCUGGGGCCGCAGAACACCGUCUUCCUCGUCAUCGAUAUGCAGACAGAUUUCUGCGGCGUCGGCGGCUAUGUGGACAAGAUGGGUUACGACAUCGCGAUGACCCGCGCGCCGAUCGAGCCGAUCCGGCGGGUGUUCGAUGCGACGCGCCGCCUUGGCUACCAUGUCAUGCAUACGCGCGAAGGUCACCGGCCUGAUCUCUCCGAUCUGCCGGAAAACAAACGCUGGCGCAGUCAGCGCAUCGGCGCGGGCAUCGGCGAUCCCGGACCGUGCGGGCGCAUCCUCACGCGCGGCGAGCCUGGCUGGGACAUCAUCCCGGAACUCGCGCCGCUGCCCGGCGAAGCGAUCAUCGACAAACCGGGCAAAGGCUCCUUUUACGCCACCGAUCUCGACAUGCUGUUACGCCGCAAAGGCAUCCGGAACAUCGUGCUCGCGGGCAUCACCACCGACGUUUGCGUUCACACGACGAUGCGCGAGGCGAACGAUCGCGGUUACGAAUGUCUGCUGCUCGCCGAUUGCACGGGCGCGACGGACGCGGGCAACUACCAGGCGGCGCUGAAAAUGAUCAAGAUGCAGGGCGGCGUGUUCGGCGCGGUCGCGGAUUCGGCUGCGUUCAUCGCGGCGAUCGCGUGAGAAUCGCUCGGCGCAGUCGUGACGAAGAUUUGCGUCGCCGCUCGCGUUGCUGCUAAUCCAACGGCGUGGAUAGCGAACCCCUCCAACAGUUUUCGUCCCUGG
RNAcentral lists this unclassified non-coding RNA (1721 nucleotides) under uncultured fungus. RNAcentral's name for it is "sequence contains 18S rRNA gene, ITS1, 5.8S rRNA gene, ITS2, 28S rRNA gene". Lineage: Eukaryota; Fungi. The record is from RNAcentral.